Oryctolagus cuniculus (rabbit) is the source of this 2119-nucleotide non-coding RNA. The record is from RefSeq and is a predicted model, not a curated record. Lineage: Eukaryota; Metazoa; Chordata; Mammalia; Lagomorpha; Leporidae.
CUAGAACCUGGUGUGCCGGCGCCUCAGGCAGAGGAUUAGCCUAUUGAGCCACAGCGACGGCCUCUAAUUGCUUUUAAGAUUCUCUUUUUAAUUAGUAUUUUUAUUUUGUUAAUUAAUUUAAAAGGGAGGGGAAAGAGAUAGUUCAACUUUUUUUUUCUUUCUGUUUAAUUUUGGGUAGUUUCUAUACUAUGUCUUCAUGUUUACUAAUCUUUUUUCUACAAUGACUCAUCUACUGUUAGCCUUUUCUAGCAUUUGUUUAAUUUGGGACAUUGUGGUUUUCACCUCCAAAACUUCAACUUGGGUCUUUUAAAAAUUCCUUCCAUGCCUAUAAUUUUAUUUUGUAGCAUAUGAACUCUAACUAUGUUUGUUUUGAUCUUCUUGUCUACACAUUUCAACAUCUGUGUCAGUUCCUGGCAGAUUUCAAUUGAUUAAUGUUAUCUCCUCAUUAAGAACAGCAUUUUCUCUUAUUUUUUUUAAGAUUUAUUUAUUUAUUUAUUUGAAAGAGUUACACAUAGAGAGAGAGAGAGAAAGAGAGAGAGGUCUGGUUCACUCCCUAAUUGGCUGCAAUGGUCAGAGCCUCGCUGGUCCGAAGCCAGGAGCCAGGAGCUUCUUCCGGGUCUCCCACAUGGGUGCAGGGGCCCAAGGACUUGGGCCAUCUUCUAUUGCUUUCCCAGGCCACAGCAGAGAACUGGAGCAGCCAGGACUCAAACCGGCGCCCACAUGGGAUGCCUGCACUGCGCCACAGCACCGGCCCCAGGAACAGCAUUUUCUUGCUUAUUUCCAUGACUGGUAGCUGAGUCCAAGGGUGCUGAACCCAAAGGUGCAGGACUCAAAAGGAUUGAUAGUAGGAACUUUAACAGAUACCUGUGCACCCACGUUCAGCACAGCAGUGUUCACAACAGCCAAACAAAGCAAAUGUCCAGCAACAGAGAGUGGAUGUUUAAAAGGUGGUGUAUUUGGAAAAUGGAAUAUUCGGCUGUGAAAAUGAAUGAUGUUCUGAUACACGCCACAGUGUGAAUGAACUCUGGAAGCAUGCUUAGUGGAAUAAGUUAGACACCAAAAAGCAAAUGCUGUGUGAUUCCAUUUGUAUGAGGGACAUUGAAUAGGCAAAUCAGUACGAGUGAAAAGUAGGACAGAGCUUACCAAGGGCUGGAAGAAGGUGGAGAAUGGGGAGUUAUUGCUUAAUGGAUAGAUUAGAAAGUUCUUGAAAUGGAUAAUGAUGAUGGUUGUACAUCAUAGCAAAUGUACUUAAUGCCACUGAAUUGUAUGCCUAAAAAGAAUUAAAAUAAUACACUUUUGUUAUGCCUAUUUUACUGCAAAAAAAAAAGACAUAAAAUACUGUGUCAGAUGUUUUCCUGUUCUUAAGCUGUGUUAAGCAGAUUCAGAACAGCCUAGAGCUAACUUCAAUGCUAAGGCAAUAGCCUUUUGGGUUUCUACCUGCUGCCCCAUGAGUUAUGAGGCCUUCUCAUUCUAGCCAGUGAGAACACAAAUUCUCCCCAGCCUCGCUGAGUUUCAAGAACGUUCUGCCUACGUCUUUCUGGUGACCAAUUCUCUGGUCUCAGGAAAUUGCCUGUGCGUGUGUUGAUAGUACCUAGCCAAAGAUUUGAGAGCACCUAUCUGUAGGUCUCUGCAGAGCCUUCCUCUCUGACACCUGGCCCUGCACAUCCCAGCCACCCUGCUCUGUCUCCUGCGCUCAGGGAGACGGGUGGCCUCUGGGCUGUUGCCUGGUAACCAUCUCCAGGUUGCAAGCCGGUUGCAUGGUGAGGCUCCCCCUGUCUCCAGGAUAGCAGCCCUGCGCCGGCUCUUGUACAAUGCCUGCGUCACGGCGGCCCUCGGGUCUCUGGAGCUCUUUCUGUCUGUAGCUCUCUCUACGAAGCACUGUGUCUAGAUAAUGCUGGCCACCUGUGACUCCCUGGCACUUGGUCUCUGUCUCUUCACGUCCAGGAGCCUUCUGCACUCUGCGCGGACUGUCCCUCUCUCCGCUGCGCAGAAAGCAGUGUGGGGCUCCUGGUUCUCCCCUGGCUCAGGUUGGCCUUCUGGAAACCACUGCUCUGCAUAUUUUAUAUGGCUCACUCACUGUCGAGGGCAGGGCACCCUCGUACUCGUUCUGCUGUCUGCC